UCAGUCUUUUAUUGAAAGAGCAAUCCACUCUAGCACACACAAUUCCAUCUCAAUUAAAGUAAAAAUCCUCUCCAUAUGAUUCAGACCUGAGAACAACUCCUCCAACGCCUAAACCCAGAGAUGACUUCUUCCUUUCCUCUGGGCACCGGAGCCCCGCCGCUGGCGCCACCGCACACCUCUUCUCUGGAGUUGGUGCCGCCACACCGGACCUAAGUGAACCUACGGAGCCAUUGAAUUUGGUGAGACAGGUUGUACAGCCUUGAAAAUUGUAUGGACCUUUUACUUUGUUUCUCUCAAAUAUGGAAAUUUCAAGGUGCGGCGGUGCCAGCUCCAGAGACGAGGUGUGUGGCGGGACUCCGGUGCUCAGAGGAGAGGAAGAAGUUGUCUCUGGGUUUAAGUGUUGGAGUUGUUCUUUAGGUCUGAAUAUCAUAUAGGGAGGAUUUUGAGUUUAAUUGAGAUGAGAUUGUGUGUGCUAGUGUGUAUUACACUUUCAAUACAGGACUAACGUGGUAGUGUUUAAUUGGUAGCGUAAAUUAGUCCAUUUACGCCACAUCCGGAUGGAAGGUUUACUCAUUGUAAAAUGAUGUUGUAAAAUAAUAAAGUAGGUUUUUGGUGUGGUAAAA
This is a long non-coding RNA of Quercus robur (English oak), 623 nucleotides long. RefSeq lists it as uncharacterized. The record is from RefSeq and is a predicted model, not a curated record. Lineage: Eukaryota; Viridiplantae; Streptophyta; Magnoliopsida; Fagales; Fagaceae. The transcript is spliced from 2 exons.